Mauremys reevesii (Reeves's turtle) is the source of this 247-nucleotide long non-coding RNA. RefSeq lists it as uncharacterized. The transcript has 3 exons. Lineage: Eukaryota; Metazoa; Chordata; Testudines; Geoemydidae. The record is from RefSeq and is a predicted model, not a curated record.
CCCAGUUUUCCUGUCCUAGCUACACCACUGUAGUGUACUACGUAGUGAAACAUGCCUCUGCAACAAGCGAGGCAGAGCUCCUACAAACAACAGCCUCCUUCAAUACACAACCGUGAUUCAGCCUCAGAACAGGCCCAGCAUAGUCCAGUGGGAAAAAUACCAAAGAUCUUAAAGUUGUUUACCAACUCCUGCACAAAAGUCAACCCAGUUCAAGACAGGGAAUGAAGAAUGCCUCAUUCAGUUCAAA